UGGGUAAGGACUUUUAUGUUGAAAAAUCUACAUGUGGCAGCCAUAUUGGAUUUUUUCAUUAGUGUUGCUAGCUUCACACUGCUGUGGUUUAGUGGUUCACUAAAGCUUCAUUUGCCCAUCACUAGUUUGCUCUGAGUCAAAGUGACUCAAGUGUGUGUGUGUGUGUGUGUGUGUGUGUGUGUGUGUGUGUGAGUAUGUAUAUGAGAGUGCAUGAGUGAGUGAGAGAUACAUGACGCUGAUGAUUUUGCUGUAUGAUUUCAAUAAAGACGUCACUUUGACAUUUAAAAAA
This is a long non-coding RNA of Alosa sapidissima (American shad), 289 nucleotides long. RefSeq lists it as uncharacterized. The transcript is spliced from 2 exons. Lineage: Eukaryota; Metazoa; Chordata; Actinopteri; Clupeiformes; Clupeidae. The record is from RefSeq and is a predicted model, not a curated record.